CAGCCGCCGCGGUAAUACGUAGGGUGCAAGCGUUAAUCGGAAUUACUGGGCGUAAAGCGUGCGCAGGCGGUUAUAUAAGACAGAUGUGAAAUCCCCGGGCUCAACCUGGGAACUGCAUUUGUGACUGUAUAGCUAGAGUACGGCAGAGGGGGAUGGAAUUCCGCGUGUAGCAGUGAAAUGCGUAGAUAUGCGGAGGAACACCGAUGGCGAAGGCAAUCCCCUGGGCCUGUACUGACGCUCAUGCACGAAAGCGUGGGGAGCAAACAGGAUUAGAUACCCGGGUAGUCCCUGUCUCUUAUAA
RNAcentral lists this ribosomal RNA (301 nucleotides) under uncultured bacterium. Its description in RNAcentral is "partial 16S ribosomal RNA". It matches the Rfam family "Bacterial small subunit ribosomal RNA", at positions 509 to 809 of the family's 1533-position model. The record is from RNAcentral.